GACGAACGCUGGCGGCGUGCUUAACACAUGCAAGUCGAACGGAAAGGCCCUGCUUUUGUGGGGUGCUCGAGUGGCGAACGGGUGAGUAACACGUGAGUAACCUGCCCUUGACUUUGGGAUAACUUCAGGAAACUGGGGCUAAUACCGGAUAGGAGCUCCUGCUGCAUGGUGGGGGUUGGAAAGUUUCGGCGGUUGGGGAUGGACUCGCGGCUUAUCAGCUUGUUGGUGGGGUAGUGGCUUACCAAGGCUUUGACGGGUAGCCGGCCUGAGAGGGUGACCGGCCACAUUGGGACUGAGAUACGGCCCAGACUCCUACGGGAGGCAGCAGUGGGGAAUAUUGCACAAUGGGCGGAAGCCUGAUGCAGCAACGCCGCGUGCGGGAUGACAGCCUUCGGGUUGUAAACCGCUUUCGCCUGUGACGAAGCGUGAGUGACGGUAAUGGGUAUAGAAGCACCGGCUAACUACGUG
This 468-nucleotide ribosomal RNA is filed under the name uncultured bacterium. RNAcentral describes it as "partial 16S ribosomal RNA". It matches the Rfam family "Bacterial small subunit ribosomal RNA", at positions 28 to 507 of the family's 1533-position model. The record is from RNAcentral.